GACGAACGCUGGCGGCGUGCUUAACACAUGCAAGUCGAACGGAAAGGCCCUGCUUGCAGGGUACUCGAGUGGCGAACGGGUGAGUAACACGUGGGUGAUCUGCCCUGCACUUCGGGAUAAGCCUGGGAAACUGGGUCUAAUACCGGAUAUGACCUUCCAUGUAGUGUGGGGGGUGGAAAGAUUUAUCGGUGUGGGAUGAGCCCGCGGCCUAUCAGCUUGUUGGUGGGGUAAUGGCCUACCAAGGCGUCGACGGGUAGCCGGCCUGAGAGGGUGGACGGCCACAUUGGGACUGAGAUACGGCCCAGACUCCUACGGGAGGCAGCAGUGGGGAAUAUUGCACAAUGGGCGGAAGCCUUAUGCAGCGACGCCGCGUGGGGGAUGACGGCCUUCGGGUUGAAAACCUCUUUCGACAGGGACGAAGCUUCGGUGACGGUACCUGUAUAAGAAGCACCGGCUAACUACGUG
Molecule: ribosomal RNA, 465 nt
Filed under: uncultured bacterium
Lineage: Bacteria
Description: partial 16S ribosomal RNA
Rfam family: Bacterial small subunit ribosomal RNA
Source: RNAcentral